This 166-nucleotide ribosomal RNA is filed under the name uncultured bacterium. Its description in RNAcentral is "partial 16S ribosomal RNA". It matches the Rfam family "Bacterial small subunit ribosomal RNA", at positions 355 to 511 of the family's 1533-position model. The record is from RNAcentral.
UAGGGAAUCUUCGGCAAUGGACGAAAGUCUGACCGAGCAACGCCGCGUGAGUGAAGAAGGUUUUCGGAUCGUAAAACUCUGUUGGUAGAGAAGAACGUUGGUGAGAGUGGAAAGCUCAUCAAGUGACGGUAACUACCCAGAAAGGGACGGGCUAACUACGUGCCAG